AAAACCAACUAUGAUGAUAAACAAGUAAAAUAGCAACCACACAAAACCUCUGUGGAGAAGAGAGAAAACGGGAUCAAGGAAGACCACACAGAAAAUUUCAAAGAAGAGAAGAAUUUCCCAAGGGGAGAAAAGACAAGAAACCAGACUUCCCUUUCAAAGAGUUAGCUUCACACAGACUAGAGUCACGAAGAAAUGGGAUUGAAAGUGAAAUGCAUCUUUGACAAACGGGAAGGGAAAGAGCAAGGGAGCAAGGCUGCUCUGUGUCUGGGAAAAUGAGGAAUGGGAAAACAUUGCCUAAGUGUUUUAUCGAACAAAACUUCUUCCCCUGCAUAACUAAAAUAUGACAACACACUUUCAGAUGGUCUCUGCUUUACUACAAACCACCUGGAUACUCUACUCACUAUCCUAAAUGCAUUUAACAUCACAAUGCAUUAGCAAGUAAUGAUGUUCUAAUGAGAUUUUAUAUAGAAAGAGAAUAGGAAGAUUUCAUUAUGUACCCAAGUGAAAACAUAAUAUGUGUCUUCCAGAUUAUGGUGGUUUUUUUGUUUCAAGUUCACCAGCCAUCUCAUUUCUCCUUCUUCCUCCGUCAUGUGUAAUCUAAAAUUGUUUCUCUGGUUCUGAAUAAUUCAGCUCUGAUCUCACCUUAUAUUCUCCAAUCAAGUGAUAGAUAGGCUCAUCAAUUGUCACUUCAUCUGGGAGCAUCAAUGGUCACUUAAGAGUGGCUGUUGGAUCUCUGAUAUCCUACUCUAGAAGGCUUAGCAAAAUUUCUGUUUAACAGAAAUAGCUUGUUCCUGUAUGGGG
This is a long non-coding RNA of Sapajus apella (tufted capuchin), 801 nucleotides long. RefSeq lists it as uncharacterized. The record is from RefSeq and is a predicted model, not a curated record. The transcript is spliced from 3 exons. Lineage: Eukaryota; Metazoa; Chordata; Mammalia; Primates; Cebidae.